Molecule: ribosomal RNA, 253 nt
Filed under: uncultured bacterium
Lineage: Bacteria
Description: partial 16S ribosomal RNA
Rfam family: Bacterial small subunit ribosomal RNA
Source: RNAcentral
GACAGAGGGUGCGAACGUUGUUCGGAAUUACUGGGCGUAAAGCGCAUGUAGGCGGCAGCGCAAGUCGGGCGUGAAAUCCCACGGCUCAACCGUGGAAGUGCACUCGAAACUGCGCAGCUAGAGUCCUGGAGAGGAAGGUGGAAUGCUUGGUGUAGAGGUGAAAUUCGUAGAUAUCGAGAGGAACACCGGUGGCGAAGGCGGCCUUCUGGACAGUGACUGACGCUGAGACGCGAAAGCGUGGGGAGCAAACAGG